GGGAAGGUAGCUCAGUGGUAGAGUGCUUGCCUUGCAUGCAUGAGGCCCUAGGUUCAAUUCCUCAGCAUCACA
RNAcentral lists this transfer RNA (72 nucleotides) under Dipodomys ordii (Ord's kangaroo rat). It matches the Rfam family "tRNA". From Rfam's summary of the family: Transfer RNA (tRNA) molecules are approximately 80 nucleotides in length. Their secondary structure includes four short double-helical elements and three loops (D, anti-codon, and T loops). Lineage: Eukaryota; Metazoa; Chordata; Mammalia; Rodentia; Heteromyidae. The record is from Rfam by way of RNAcentral.